Molecule: ribosomal RNA, 253 nt
Filed under: uncultured bacterium
Lineage: Bacteria
Description: partial 16S ribosomal RNA
Rfam family: Bacterial small subunit ribosomal RNA
Source: RNAcentral
GACAGAGGGUGCAAACGUUGUCCGGAAUUAUUGGGCGUAAAGAGCUCGUAGGCGGUCUGUCACGUCGGCUGUGAAAACCCGAGGCUCAACCUCGGGCCUGCAGUCGAUACGGGCAGACUAGAGUUCGGUAGGGGAGACUGGAAUUCCUGGUGUAGCGGUGAAAUGCGCAGAUAUCAGGAGGAACACCGGUGGCGAAGGCGGGACUCUGGGCCGAUACUGACGCUGAGGAGCGAAAGCGUGGGGAGCAAACAGG